Long non-coding RNA from Homalodisca vitripennis (glassy-winged sharpshooter), 312 nucleotides. RefSeq lists it as uncharacterized. The record is from RefSeq and is a predicted model, not a curated record. The transcript has 3 exons. Lineage: Eukaryota; Metazoa; Arthropoda; Insecta; Hemiptera; Cicadellidae.
AUUCAUAUGUUUCCCAGUUUUUCAACAGUAUGAUCAAGGCUGAAGGCUCGCUUCUGAUUCCCAUUCCAUCUCUCAAAUCCAUAUUGUUUGUUGAAGUGUUAUCGUAGGGUGUCGUUUAUGUGGUUGCUGCGUAAUUCCUGAUAACAAGGUCGCUAAUCUGUUAAUAUUGUAUCAGCGGAAGACAUAGAACAACUGAAGAGGUUUGCUUGUGGCGGGUAUUGCGAUGAGUCUACCAUUGUGUACUUACAACAUCCCUGUGUGAUUCUGACAGCCCUAGAAGUUCUUGGCUACCAGGUGGUAGCGUCAUCAUCC